GGAGGAUGGAAUUAUAUGACCCAGUGAAGUCAGAUACCUGCCAGAGCUAAUCCCUUGAUACAACGUUGACGCACCAGAGGACUGAGCCUGAGAUGUAGACGCAGACUGGCCUGUCUGAACCAGUGUUGUGGUGCCAGGCUGGUAUGAUGACUGGGUCUGGGCUCCAGAUGUCUGGUUUGCAGUCACCACAGACUGGGUUGAGUAUGGAAAGCCAUGACCCAGAGAAGUCACAUUCCUCCUAAUUCCUUGAUACAAUGUUGAUGCACCAGAGGACUGAGCCUGAGAUGUAGGAGCAGACUGGGCUGUCUGAAGCAGUGUUGUAGUGCCAGGCUGGUAUGAUGACUGGGUCUGGGCUCCAGAUGUCUGGUUUGCAGUCACCACAGACUGGGUUGAGUAUGGAAAGCCAUGACCCAGAGAAGUCACAUUCCUCCUAAUUCCUUGAUACAAUGUUGAU
This is a long non-coding RNA of Ictalurus punctatus (channel catfish), 454 nucleotides long. NCBI's taxonomy places the organism in Eukaryota, Metazoa, Chordata, Actinopteri, Siluriformes, Ictaluridae. The record is from Ensembl.